AUAACUUUUAAUAAUAGAUCUCUUAGUUCUAGUAUUAAUAAAGAACGCAGCAAAAUGCAAUAAGUAGUGUAAAUUAUAGAAUUUAGUAAAUUAUUAAAUCUUUAAACGCACAUUGCGCCCCUUAGUAUUCUAUAGGGCAUGCCUAUUUAAGCGUUAUUUGUACCCUUAAGCUCUGCUUAGUGUUAGGUGUUUGUUUUACUUAGGACUUGCCUUAAAAUAAUUAGUAGCUAGUAUAUUAGCCUAGAGCGCAGCAUAUUUUACGCCUCUUAUUAUAGUUGUUAGCAUCUAUUAAGACACUUUUUAAGCUCUUAACCUUAGAUUAGGUAGGGAUACCUGCUAAACUUAAGCAUAUUAAUAAGCAGAGGAAAAGAAACUAAUAGGGAUUGCCCUAGUAAUAGCGAGUGAAGCGGCAACAGCUUAAAUUUAAAAUCUAGCUCUUUUAGGGUCCAAGUUAUAAUUUGCAGAGGGCGCUUUAGCAUUAGCAGUGGUCUAAGUUCCUUAGAAUAGGACGUUAUAGAGGGUAAGAAUCCUAUACGUAGUUGCUAGCCUUCGCCGUAUAAAGCCCCUUUAACAAGUUAAGUUAUUUAGGAAUAUAGCUCUAAAUAGGAGGUAAAUUUCUUCUAAAGCUAAAUACUAGCUAGAGACUAAUAGCGCACAAGUAGAGUAAUUAAAAGAUAAAAAGCACUUUAGAAAGAGAGUUAAAUAGCACGUGAAAUUGUUAAAAGGGAAGCGCUUGCAGCUAGACUUGCCUAUAGUUACUUAUCUAGGCUUUUGUCUAGUGCACUCUUCUAUAGGCAGGCUAGUAUUAGUUUAGGUAGUUAGAUAAAGGUCUCUGUUACGUACCUCCCUUUAGGGAGGCCUUAUAGGGGAGACGACAUGCAACUAGCCUAGACUAAGGUCUGCGUAUCUGCUAGGAUGCUAGCGUAAUAGCCGUAAGCGGCCCGUCUUAAAAUAUAGACUAAGGAGUCUAAUAUCUAUGCAAGUGUUUAGGUGUUAAGCCUAGACGCGUAAUAAAAGUAAACAGAGGUAGAACCCCUUUUAGGGUGCACUAUUAACUAAUCCUAAUAUCUUUAGAAGGAUUUAAGUAAGAGUAUAGCUAUUAGGACCUAAAAGAUAGUAAACUAUACUUAAAUAGGGUAAAGCUAGAGGAAACUCUAGUAGAGGCUCGCAGUAGUUCUAACGUGCAAAUUAAUUGUUAAAUUUAGGUAUAGGGGCAAAAGACUAAUCAAACUAUCUAGUAGCUAGUUCCUGCUAAAGUUUCCCUUAGGAUAGCAGUAACGUAUUUAGUUUUAUAAGGUAAAGCGAAUAAUUAGAGGCCUAGGGGUUAAAACAACCUUUACCUAUUCUUAAACUUUAAAUAUAUAAGAAGUCCUUAUUACUUAAUUAAACAUAGACACUUAAAUAUACUAUUACUAGUAGGCUAUUUUUAGUAAGUAGAACUAGCAAUACAGGAUAAACUAAACGCGGGGUUAAGGUGCUAGAAUACACGCUUAUUAGAUACUACAAAAGGUGUUAGUUUAUCUAGAUAGUAGGAUAGUAGCUAUAGAAGUUAGAAUCUACUAAGGAGUGUAUAAUAACUUACCUGCUAAAUAAACUAGCCCUAAAAAUAGAUAGCGCUUAAGCGUGUUACCUAUACCCUGCUGCUAGGGCAAGAUUUAAGCCCUAGCAAGUAGGCAGGCAUAGAGGCUUGUAACAAAGCCUUAGGGGUAACCCUAGGUAGAACGGCCUCUAGUAUAGAUCUUAGUAGUAGUAGCAAAUACUUAAAUAAGAACUUUAAGGACUAAAGUAGGGAAAGGUUCUAUAUAAAUAGUAGUUAGACACAGGUUAGUUAAUCCUAAGAGAUAGGGUAAUUCUGUUUUAAUAUUAGCGCUUACGCCGCGCCCUUAAAAGGGAAGCUAGUUAAUAUUCUAGCACCUAGAUGUAGAUUCUCCACGGCAACGCAACUAAGAGCAGAGACCUUAGCAGGAGCCCUAAGAAGAGUUCUCUUUUCUUCUUAACAGUCUAUUACCCUAAAAUUAGUUUAUCUAGAGCUAGGGUUUAAUAGCUAGAAGAGCGCUACACUUUUAUAGCAUUUAGUGCGCUCCUAAUAAGCCUUAAAAAUCUACUUAAAGAAAUAGUUUUUACGCUAGGUUAUACUUAUAACCACAGCAGGUCUCUAAGGUAAAAAGCCUCUAGUUAAUAGAAUAAUAUAGAUAAGGGAAGUUAGUAAAAUAGAUCUGUAACUUUAGGAAAAGGAUUAGCUCUAAGGGUUAGGUACGUUAGGCCUUAGGGAGAAGCCUCUAGCGCAGAAGGGCACUAACUACAAGGUAGGCGCCUCUUAGCGCUAGGGUGCAGACACCCUUAGCAGGUUUUGGCUGUCUAGCGUAUAUUUAAUAACUAACUUAGAACUAGUAUAGAUAAGGGGAAUCUAACUAUCUAAUUAAAAUAUAGUAUUGUAAUAGCUAGAAAGUAGUAUUAAUAUAAUGUAAUUUCUGCCUAGUGCUCUAAAUAUUAAAGCAAAGAGAUUUAACUAAGCACAGGUAAAUAGUAGGAGUAACUAUAACUCUCUUAAGGUAGCUAAAUGCCUUAUUAUCUAAUUAGUAACGCAUAUAAAUAGAUUAACAAGAUUCCUACUAUCCCUAUCUACUAUCUAGCAAAACCACAGCUAAGGGAACAGGCUUGGCUAAAUUAGCGGGGAAAGAAGACCCUAUUAAGCUUAACUCUAGUUUAAUAUUAUAAAAAGAUAUAGGGGGUGUAGAAUAGGUAGGAGCUUUAGCGCUAGUAAAAUACUACUACCCUUAUUAUUUUUUUACUUAUUCGAUAAAGCAGAGCUAGGCCUUACUACCUAACUUCUAGCGUUUAAGGUCCUUUAUAGGCUAAUCUAGGUUAAAGAUAUUAUUAGGUAGGGAGUUUAGCUAGGGCGGCAUAUCUAUUAAACUAUAAUGCAGGUGUCCUAAGGGGGACUUAUAGAGAAUAGAAAUCUCUAGUAGAGUAAAAGGGCAAAAGUCCCCUUAAUUUUAAUUUUUAGUGUGAAUACAAACUAUAAAAGUGUGGCCUAUUAAUCCUUUAGUCCCUUAAAAUUUAAGGCUAGAGGUGCUAGAAAAGUUACCACAGGGAUAACUAGCUUGUGGCAGCUAAGCGUUUAUAGCAAUGUUGCUUUUUAAUCCUUUAAUGUUAGCUCUUCCUAUUAUACUAAAGCAGAAUUUAGUAAGCGUUAGAUUGUUCACCUACUAAUAGGGAACGUAAGCUAGGUUUAGACUGUUGUAAGACAGGUUAGUUUUACCCUACUAAUAACCUUGCCCUAAUAGUAAUACCGCUUAGUACGAGAGGAACUGCAGUUUUAGAUAAUUAGUUUUUGCGGCUAUCUAACUAGGCAUUGCUGCAAAGCUACUAUCUACUAGAUUAUAGCUAAACGCCUCUAAGUUAGAAUCUAUGCUAGAAUAGGGUAAUUUCCGCCUACACUAGUUAGAUACAAAUAGGCCUUUAGCCCAGAACCUUACUAGAUUAGCGUUAGUAGCCCUAUUAAAGUUAGAGUUAUUAGCUAGUGUAUUACAAUUGUACAGUGCGUAGGAU
RNAcentral lists this ribosomal RNA (3552 nucleotides) under Plenodomus biglobosus/Leptosphaeria biglobosa 'brassicae' group. RNAcentral's name for it is "eukaryotic LSU rRNA". It matches the Rfam family "Eukaryotic large subunit ribosomal RNA". Lineage: Eukaryota; Fungi; Ascomycota; Dothideomycetes; Pleosporales; Leptosphaeriaceae. RNAcentral also lists the same sequence under 1 other name. The record is from RNAcentral.